Stegodyphus mimosarum is the source of this 70-nucleotide non-coding RNA. The record is from Rfam. Lineage: Eukaryota; Metazoa; Arthropoda; Arachnida; Araneae; Eresidae.
GCCUUCGUGGUGUAACGGUAGCACACUCGGCUCCAGUUCGAGUGGUCCAGGUUCGAGUCUGGCGAGGGCG